Long non-coding RNA from Archocentrus centrarchus (flier cichlid), 509 nucleotides. RefSeq lists it as uncharacterized. The record is from RefSeq and is a predicted model, not a curated record. The transcript is spliced from 3 exons. NCBI's taxonomy places the organism in Eukaryota, Metazoa, Chordata, Actinopteri, Cichliformes, Cichlidae.
AGCUGUGUGAGACACAGAUACUGCAUUUCUCCACUAUUUUACCUUUCAAAUUAAACUUUACAUUCUUAUUUUAACACAGUUGCAUAUAUUAGCUGCAAACUGAAAAAAUGUGAGUGGGUUGACAAAUGUAUUUGGAUGACUGAAUAAACCUGUAUUUCAAUAACUUUGGAUGUUUCACACUUUUAAGCUUGUCAAAACACUCCUGGAUGCUAAGCCAGGAGGAGAGAAGAUACUCAAAGAAUACACACAAACAGGGGAGGUUAAAGACCCAUUACGACGAAAACUGGUCAACAUGGUUGUAGCAGCAAUGAUUGAGCAGUAUGGGACUGCUCCACCGAUGGAUGUCAGGACACGUUAUGCAUUGGGAAUUGUCACCCUGUUCCCUUGUCUGAAAGAUCCGUACUCUGAAAAAGGAUAUGAGCACUUUUUUGAUUCCAAAAGUAAUGAAGGCUACAUCGCUUGGAAACUGAAAAACAUGCAGCGCGAACUCAGCAGUGGCAGCAGGAGGG